This 498-nucleotide long non-coding RNA is filed under the name Hordeum vulgare. RNAcentral describes it as "long non-coding RNA (HVUL_LNC005193)". The record is from RNAcentral. Lineage: Eukaryota; Viridiplantae; Streptophyta; Magnoliopsida; Poales; Poaceae.
UGUGUAAUUAUUCAAAGAUGCAGAAAAGGCUAGCACAUUAGUCCGAGAAGGGGGGAAACCGAGGACUACACUAACUUAUCAUUUGUGCUUUCUAAGAAAGGCUCCUCUAGGGUUUACCCGCCUCUUGCUCGCGUCGCCGCCGAUCAGCCUCCUCUCGUGAGGCCUUAGGGCCACGGAGGCGCAAUGGAUCUCGACCCUUGUCGUUGAGAGGGCUUGUGCUUUGUCUUUAGGGGUUUUUAGUCUAUUUAGGGUUUAUGCCCUACUCAGAAAGGCAAUGGCUCUCUCGAGAUAGAAUAAGGUUCUUCCUGCCUAUCCCCCAUCAAGGUGGUAUUUCCAGCGUCGUCGAAGGGUGAGCACGACGUCUCUAGGAGACGGUUCUAUAGGGCCUUAACACGAUGCCUCUAGGAGACGGUUCUAUAGGGCCUUAGCACGACGUCUUCGUGUAUGUCUAGUACAACAAGGCUUUUCCGGCUCCGUUGAGGGAGGAGCAAUAAUGAC